RNAcentral lists this ribosomal RNA (199 nucleotides) under uncultured bacterium. Its description in RNAcentral is "partial 16S ribosomal RNA". It matches the Rfam family "Bacterial small subunit ribosomal RNA", at positions 328 to 539 of the family's 1533-position model. The record is from RNAcentral.
ACGCUCGACACCUACGGAGGCAGCAGUGGGGAAUAUUGCACAAUGGGGGAAACCCGUGAUGCAGCGACGCCGCGUGAGUGAAGAAGUAUUUCGGUAUGUAAAGCUCUAUCAGCAGGGAAGAAGAUGACGGUACCUGAGUAAGAAGCCCCGGCUAACUACGUGCAAGCAGCCGGCGGUAAUCUGAGCGGGCUGGCAAGGC